CCCUUAGAUGUUCUGGGCUGCACGCGCGCUACACUGAUGCAAUCACCGAGUUUUUCCUGCUCCGAUAGGAUUGGGUAAUCUUUUGAAAUUGCAUCGUGAUGGGGAUAGAUUAUUGCAAUUAUUAGUCUUCAACGAGGAAUUCCUAGUAAGCGUAAAUCAUCAGCUUGCGCUGAUUACGUCCCUGCCCUUUGUACACACCGCCCGUCGCACCUACCGAUUGAAUGGUCCGGUGAAGUCUCCGGACUGAGUACUUUUAGUACUUGGGAAGUUGACUAAACCUUACUAUUUAGAGGAAGGUGAAGUCGUAACA
Molecule: ribosomal RNA, 310 nt
Filed under: uncultured eukaryote
Lineage: Eukaryota
Description: partial 18S ribosomal RNA
Rfam family: Eukaryotic small subunit ribosomal RNA
Source: RNAcentral